UUUCGAUUCAUCUUCUAAUCAGACCCUAAACAUCGAUUUCAAUCCAAAACCAGCCCAUGGCCAUGGCUAUUACCAAUACUCCAAGCACACUGAUAAUACACUUAAGAUUGAUUGGACUAGUUUAGGCCCACGGUUUUAUGCGGCGAAGAGUAAAACGGUCGCCAACGAGCCAGCUAGCCGCUACCCUAAGAUGACCUGGCGUGUCUCGUGACGUCGCAAAGAGAAAAGCAGGAGCUGUGGUUUUAUAUAUACUAGCAUUUCUUUCUUCCCCUGCCGCACCACAGAAUCCUUCGACAAAUCCAUGGCUCUGCGAUCUCUAGUGACCCGAAAGAACCUACCCUCAGCCUUCAAGGCCGCCACAGGGCUAGGGCAACUGCGGGGAUUGCAGACCUUCUCUCUCCCCGAUCUCCCUUACGACUAUGGUGCCCUGGAGCCCGCGAUUAGCGGCGAGAUAAUGCAGCUGCAUCACCAGAAACAUCACCAGACUUAUAUUACUAACUACAACAAGGCUCUCGAGCAACUCAACGACGCUAUAGAGAAGGGCGAUUCUGCUGCCGUCGUCAAGUUGCAGAGCGCCAUCAAG
This 583-nucleotide unclassified non-coding RNA is filed under the name Hevea brasiliensis (rubber tree). Lineage: Eukaryota; Viridiplantae; Streptophyta; Magnoliopsida; Malpighiales; Euphorbiaceae. The record is from RNAcentral.